UCCGGUUUGUCACCGGCAGUCUCCCUAGAGUGCCCUUGCGUAGCAACUAGGGACAAGGGUUGCGCUCGUUGCGGGACUUAACCCAACAUCUCACGACACGAGCUGACGACGGCCAUGCAGCACCUGUGUUCUAGUUCUCUUUCGAGCACGAAGCCAUCUCUGGCGACUUCUAGACAUGUCAAGGGUAGGUAAGGUUUUUCGCGUUGCAUCGAAUUAAACCACAUCAUCCACCGCUUGUGCGGGCCCCCGUCAAUUCCUUUGAGUUUUAAUCUUGCGACCGUACUCCCCAGGCGGUCAACUUCACGCGUUAGCUUCGUUACUAAGGAAAUCAAUUCCCCAACAACCAGUUGACAUCGUUUAGGGCGUGGACUAC
Molecule: unclassified non-coding RNA, 373 nt
Filed under: uncultured Gammaproteobacteria bacterium
Lineage: Bacteria; Pseudomonadati; Pseudomonadota; Gammaproteobacteria
Description: contains 16S-23S intergenic spacer region
Source: RNAcentral